This 496-nucleotide ribosomal RNA is filed under the name uncultured bacterium. Its description in RNAcentral is "partial 16S ribosomal RNA". It matches the Rfam family "Bacterial small subunit ribosomal RNA", at positions 29 to 507 of the family's 1533-position model. The record is from RNAcentral.
AUGAACGCUGGCGGCGUGCCUAAUACAUGCAAGUCGAGCGAACGGACGAGAAGCUUGCUUUUCUGAUGUUAGCGGCGGACGGGUGAGUAACACGUGGAUAACCUACCUAUAAGACUGGGAUAACUUCGGGAAACCGGAGCUAAUACCGGAUAAUAUUUUGAACCGCAUGGUUCAAAAGUGAAAGACGGUCUUGCUGUCACGUAUAGAUGGAUCCGCGCUGCAUUAGCUAGUUGGUAAGGUAACGGCUUACCAAGGCAACGAUGCAUAGCCGACCUGAGAGGGUGAUCGGCCACACUGGAACUGAGACACGGUCCAGACUCCUACGGGAGGCAGCAGUAGGGAAUCUUCCGCAAAGGGCGAAAGCCUGACGGAGCAACGCCGCGUGAGUGAUGAAGGUCUUCGGAUCGUAAAACUCUGUUAUUAGGGAAGAACAUAUGUGUAAGUAACUGUGCACAUCUUGACGGUACCUAAUCAGAAAGCCACGGCUAACUACGUG